AGGGCUUCGUGGAUGUUGCGUCUGAGAAGACUGGAAGUUGGCCAGAGGCCUCAUGGGGGUCCUGCAGGGACAGUCUCAAGGUGACAGCGGCUGCACCCCGAGCGCGGCCUGAACUGGAAAGGCACCUGCCCCUCUGACAUGGCUUUGCAUAACGUGCAGGAUCUUCACACGUGCUGUGUUCUGCUGGUUCCAGGCCAGUCACCAGAGCUCGUGCAGAUUUGGUGGGGUCCUCCCUCUCAAUGGCAGGUGUCGAAAGAACCUGUGGAUAUGGUCAUAGCCACCCCAGACGUUCACUCCCUACCAAUCCCCUGGUGGUUUCCCCAGCCUUCCCCCAUCUGUACUGAAGAACUGACACCCGCCCUCUGGUUUUAAAAUGUUUAGAAUUUGUAAUAAUUUUAUAGAUACGUAUUUUCUAGAGAGUGAUGUAACAUCCAUAACAAUCUAAAAACAGAUUUUCUAGGAAGUUACCGUGAAAUCUACAAAGUCAAUAAAACAUUUCAUCCCAGGUGCUGAGCUGUGAGGAGAGUAUCAGGGUUUGGGCUCUGCUGCCUUUCCCCAAAGAACUCACUUGGGAAGCAGUCAGAUUAGAAGAUAAUUCUGAAACAAAUGCCAGCCACUCUUUAAUUACAAAAAUGACGGAUGAGCUGUAUCACCAUGUGCCUGAGAAUCAUUGUGUUUUAAAGGACUUGGAUCAUCUUCCUACUGAGACACCCACCAGUGAUACGCAGCUAGCCCUGGCUCCCAGAAAGCCGCAGCCUUGCAGGUACAGGAGAGUGAGGUACAGGUGGGGAUCAUGAUGCCUGCUCCAAGUCUGGCUCUGUUUGCAGGUGGCCCCAGCUGCUCCGUGAGCUCUGCAGCACACCCUUUCCUACCCUCUUCUGCCCCAGGAUUGUGCUGGAAGUGCUGGUUGUGCUCCAAAGCAUCAGCAAGCAGUGUCACCACGUGUCUGGUCAGGUCACCAUUGCCUCGGAGCCGAGACACAGGCAGUGGGUGGAGAGGAUGCUGCGGUCUCGCCAGCGGCAGAACUACCUGUGUAUAUGGAGUAGGAGCUCAAGAUAGGAGGCAGAGGAGCCACACACGCCAAAGCACGAUGGCCACAGCCGAGUGAGUGAGUGAUGUCGAGUUCACACAGAAAAAACAACAACAAAAACCAAGAGAACCUAGAACUGAAAAUGCAUCACAGCAACGAGUGAAGUAGGUAACACGCUUCAUCAUUUGCAGAAAGACUUAGAGUUGCAAACCUGCCUUUUGCGUUCUUCUGUAAAAAGCAGUGACAUUCGCCCCUGAAGAAGCAUCUUGGCCUUUUGGAUGUACUCAGAGUGCUGGUGAAGAACUUAAAGAUUGCUGGGAAGUGUUCUAGGUAACAGGGUUACAGGGUGUAAACAACAUACUGGAAAACCUGGUGGUUACAGUGGACACGUUCCAGGAAGCCCUUACUUGCGGUUUUCGAAGCUGUGGAAUUGUUUGAGAUUGGAGGAGGCGACGGAGGCUACAACGAGGUGGCUCCGGAUACUAAGCUCUGAGCCAGUCUUGGCUCUGAUUCUGACCGUGGCCUCUUUUGCCUCCCCCCAACCCUAAAACUGACACUAACCCUAUUCCCUAACCCCUGCCUGGUACUCCUACCCACACCCUAAAAACCCCAAACCCAAAACCUAUAAACCAUGUGUCUUAGUCCAUUUUCUGUUGCUGUAACAGAAUACCACAGAGCAGAUCAUAAACCAAACGUAUUUCUUCCA
Macaca mulatta (Rhesus monkey) is the source of this 1736-nucleotide non-coding RNA. The record is from RefSeq and is a predicted model, not a curated record. NCBI's taxonomy places the organism in Eukaryota, Metazoa, Chordata, Mammalia, Primates, Cercopithecidae.